This is a non-coding RNA of Meleagris gallopavo (turkey), 2133 nucleotides long. The record is from RefSeq and is a predicted model, not a curated record. NCBI's taxonomy places the organism in Eukaryota, Metazoa, Chordata, Aves, Galliformes, Phasianidae.
UGAGAAUACAGGGUUAAUUUUCUUUUGACGUGCCUUUCUUGUUUUUAUUUCCUUUAACAGAACCCCUUUGUUUCAUACAUUUGAUAAUUGUUUCAUUAUGUAGUGGCACACCAUCCUGUGAGACCGCAGGAAAGGCUCCAAAUGUCCCUUCUUGUGCACGCAGCUCAGACAACCUGGAGCUGUUUUAGUACGGGGUCUUCACCUGCAAUUGGAGUGACUUUUUUUUUUUCCCUCCCCCCAAUAAAUCCAGCAGAACUGGAGAGGAAAUUGCAAAGGUGAACUUUCUGCUUUGCGAGGAUGGGGACAAGCGGCGCGAUGUGCGCGGAGCACAGCCCGGUGCCACCUGGCGGCAGCAGAUGCAAUGCUGUCAUCUCUUGGCUCAUCAGAAAAUGAAGGAAGCAGACAGCAAGGGGACUGCUUGAAAUGAGCACAACAGAGCCAGCAAAUAACCCACCAUCAGAUGUGCCUGGCUUCCUGUCAGAAAGGCAAACAGCUGAUGAAGGUGGACGUGACAAGCAAGUAGAACUAUGGGAGAGAGAGUGGGCCAAUCCAGUAGCUUGGACUAACUCCCUGUCUACAUUAAAGGAUUAAAUCAGAGAGGCUGCAUGGACAGAGAAGUAAGUACUUCAUUAUUUUUAAACAAUCACAGGAUUUUUUUAAAUGCAAUUCCUACCAGGCAAAUCUUCGCUGCUUGUUUUGUUUGUUUGUUUUCCAGCAUAGUGCUAUCAUCUUCAGUUAGAGAUUGAGUAGGAAGGGAAUAAGAAUCUAUUUUGUGCAUGCAGGCUUGUUGUUUUUUAUCAGGAUUUGUGCCUUCCUCUUGUUCUUGGUGGUUUGCUGCUGUAAUUGUUUGGCUCUCUUUACCAGAACAGUUUGGUGGCUUUAGGUGUUCUAAACUCUCCUGGGCCUAUUGCAAUGGCCAAUGUUGGCAUUCCUAUGAAGAAACAUCUAGCUUUGGAUGCAAAGGAGAGUAAAUUUGUUGAGCAAGGAGAUGCCAUUGCUUAUAUCAAAAGAUUCCAGGAUGAGAGUUGAUGGCUUUAGGUUGUGCCAGGUGAGGUUCAAGUUGGAUAUGAAGAAAAAUUUCUUCUGUGAAGCAGGCUGCCCAGGGAGUGGAGGGAUCUCCAUCCCUGGAGGUGUUCCAGAACAGUGGAGAUGUAGACAUGAUUGGUGGGCUUGGUGAUCCUAGAGGUCUUUUCUAAUCUUAACGAUUCUAUGGAAAAUCAGACAGAUUAUGUUCAGAACUGAAAAACCAACAAGGCUAAUUUUGUACUCUUAACUUUAAAUCGGAUCCUAUGUUUUUCUGCUCUUUGAACAUGCAAUGUGUGAAUGUGGCCUAUUGUUCUCCUAAAAGAACUGUACUCAUCUCUGCGGGGCUUAUCAGCUGCAGCCAUCACUAAGUAAUAACACAGCUGUGCUGAGACCUAUAAAAAGGGCAAAUGACACGUAGGUAGAGAGGACAGUAAAGAUGUGGCUCGAGGCUCAGGUUUCAAGAGGCAGCCAAAUACAGUCAUUAAGUAAACCAGAGCCACCCUGUUAACAAAGUCUGCAGGCUCACAUUCACAGAACAUCUCAUAGAUUACAAAAGAAAUGUUUUUGCACUCCUCAAGGGACUGGCUUCUGAACACAUCUAUAAAUUGCCUAAUGAGAGAUGUAAGUGUAUUUUAAUACUUGUACACUGUGUCCCAGGGAAAACAUAAUCCCUAGCAUUGAGCACAAUGGUGACAGACGCGGGUACUUUGCUGUAGGGAUCUAUUAGAAAUGUCAGUCGUAUAAUUAAACUUCAAAAAUAUUUCUUAUUGGAAUAUCUAGAGAUAAGAAAGAUAUGAAUGUCAGACCUCUGAAGCCCAUUCCCAAGCUGACACAGAGGGCAAGCAGAGCAGCUGCCAUAAAGCAGCCCUAUGUCACGGCUUGGGGCUGUAUGUGCCUGUGACACACGUGGCAUUUCUCCUCAGUAACAGACAUCUUGUGAUUUCUAUGACUAUGAGGAUGGUUCUGAAAGAAUAAAAACACUGAGAACAGUAUGAUGCCUAACUGCCACCAAACUUGGAGGCACUGCAGUCUCUGAAAAGAGACCACAGGACUGGAGGAUGGAUCUCCACAUCUCUUCACAGCUGUGGCACUAUGAUGUGACAGUGG